Molecule: ribosomal RNA, 468 nt
Filed under: uncultured bacterium
Lineage: Bacteria
Description: partial 16S ribosomal RNA
Rfam family: Bacterial small subunit ribosomal RNA
Source: RNAcentral
GACGAACGCUGGCGGCGUGCUUAACACAUGCAAGUCGAACGGAAAGGCCCUGCUUUUGUGGGGUGCUCGAGUGGCGAACGGGUGAGUAACACGUGAGUAACCUGCCCUUGACUUUGGGAUAACUUCAGGAAACUGGGGCUAAUACCGGAUAGGAUCUCCUGCUGCAUGGUGGGGGUUGGAAAGUUUCGGCGGUUGGGGCUGGACUCGCGGCUUAUCAGCUUGUUGGUGGGGUAGUGGCUUACCAAGGCUUUGACGGGUAGCCGGCCUGAGAGGGUGACCGGCCACAUUGGGACUGAGAUACGGCACAGACUCCUAAGGGAGGCAGCAGUGGGGAAUAUUGCACAAUGGGCGGAAGCCUGAUGCAGCAACGCCGCGUGCGGGAUGACGGCCUUCGGGUUGUAAACCGCUUUCGCCUGUGACGAAGCGUGAGUGAAGGUAAUGGGUAAAGAAGCACCGGCUAAAUACGUG